This 1195-nucleotide ribosomal RNA is filed under the name uncultured bacterium. RNAcentral's name for it is "bacterial SSU rRNA". It matches the Rfam family "Bacterial small subunit ribosomal RNA", at positions 322 to 1504 of the family's 1533-position model. The record is from RNAcentral.
AAACAAACAACGAUUUCCUUGGAGGGGCCCCCAGUGAGAAUUUUGGCCAAGGGGGGCCACCCCUAUUCCACCCCUGCCGGUGUGGAGAAGAAGCCUUUUUGGUUAAAAACCCUUUUAAGCGAGGGAAGAAGCCCUUGCGGUUUAAUCCCCGUUAAGGGAUGACUUUAGCUGCAAAAAUAAGCCCCGGCUAAUUUUUGUCCCAGCAGCCGCGGUAAUACAGGGGGUGCAAGCGUUAAUCGGAAUUACUGGGCGUAAAGCGAGCGUAGGUGGCUUGAUAAGUCAGAUGUGAAAUCCCCGGGCUUAACCUGGGAACUGCAUCUGAUACUGUUAAGCUAGAGUAGGUGAGAGGGAAGUAGAAUUCCAGGUGUAGCGGUGAAAUGCGUAGAGAUCUGGAGGAAUACCGAUGGCGAAGGCAGCUUCCUGGCAUCAUACUGACACUGAGGCUCGAAAGCGUGGGUAGCAAACAGGAUUAGAUACCCUGGUAGUCCACGCCGUAAACGAUGUCUACUAGUCGUUGGGUCCCUUGAGGACUUAGUGACGCAGCUAACGCAAUAAGUAGACCGCCUGGGGAGUACGGCCGCAAGGUUAAAACUCAAAUGAAUUGACGGGGGCCCGCACAAGCGGUGGAGCAUGUGGUUUAAUUCGAUGCAACGCGAAGAACCUUACCUGGUCUUGACAUACACAGAAUCUUGUAGAGAUACGAGAGUGCCUUCGGGAAUUGUGAUACAGGUGCUGCAUGGCUGUCGUCAGCUCGUGUCGUGAGAUGUUGGGUUAAGUCCCGCAACGAGCGCAACCCUUGUCCUUAGUUACCAGCGGGUUAAGCCGGGAACUCUAAGGAUACUGCCAGUGACAAACUGGAGGAAGGCGGGGACGACGUCAAGUCAUCAUGGCCCUUACGACCAGGGCUACACACGUGCUACAAUGGUAGGUACAGAGGGCAGCUACACAGCGAUGUGAUGCGAAUCUCAAAAAGCCUAUCGUAGUCCAGAUUGGAGUCUGCAACUCGACUCCAUGAAGUAGGAAUCGCUAGUAAUCGCGGAUCAGAAUGCCGCGGUGAAUACGUUCCCGGGCCUUGUACACACCGCCCGUCACACCAUGGGAGUUGAUUGCACCAGAAGUGGUUAGCCUAACUUAGUGAGGGCGAUCACCACGGUGUGGUUGAUGACUGGGGUGAAGUCGUAACAAGGUAACCGUA